This 468-nucleotide ribosomal RNA is filed under the name uncultured bacterium. RNAcentral describes it as "partial 16S ribosomal RNA". It matches the Rfam family "Bacterial small subunit ribosomal RNA", at positions 28 to 507 of the family's 1533-position model. The record is from RNAcentral.
GACGAACGCUGGCGGCGUGCUUAACACAUGCAAGUCGAACGGAAAGGCCCUGCUUUUGUGGGGUGCUCGAGUGGCGAACGGGUGAGUAACACGUGAGUAACCUGCCCUUGACUUUGGGAUAACUUCAGGAAACUGGGGCUAAUACCGGAUAGGAGCUCCUGCUGCAUGGUGGGGGUUGGAAAGUUUCGGCGGUUGGGGAUGGACUCGCGGCUUAUCAGCUUGUUGGUGGGGUAGUGGCUUACCAAGGCUUUGACGGGUAGCCGGCCUGAGAGGGUGACCGGCCACAUUGGGACUGAGAUACGGCCCAGACUCUUCCGGGAGGCAGCAGUGGGGAAUAUUGCACAAUGGGCGGAAGCCUGAUGCAGCAACGCCGCGUGCGGGAUGACGGCCUUCGGGUUGUAAACCGCUUUCGCCUGUGACGAAGCGUGAGUGACGGUAAUGGGUAAAGAAGCACCGGCUAACUACGUG